GACGAACGCUGGCGGCGUGCUUAACACAUGCAAGUCGAACGGAAAGGCCCUUUUUGGGGUGGUCGCGUGGCUAACGAGCGGGUAACAAGUACGUAACUUGCCCUCGACUUAGUUUUGGAUUACGGCAACUGGGUGUAGUUACGGCUAGGAAUCAUUGCCGCCUGCUGGGUGUUGGAAGGAUUCGGGGGUUUGGGGUGGACUCGCGGGCUGUCAACUUGCUUGUGGGGUGGUGGCUUACCAACGCUUUGAUGGGCAGGCGGCCUGGGUGGGCGACCGGCCAAAAUUGGACUGGGAUACGGCCCAGACUCCUACGGGGAGCAGCAGGUGGGAAUAUUGCACAAUGGGCGGAAGCCUGAUGCAGCAACGCCGCGGGGGGGAUGACGGGCUUCGGGUUGUAAACCGCUUUUAGCAGGUGCGAAGCUGGGGGUGACGGUACCUGCAGAAGAAGCACCGGCUAACUACGUG
This 465-nucleotide ribosomal RNA is filed under the name uncultured bacterium. RNAcentral's name for it is "partial 16S ribosomal RNA". It matches the Rfam family "Bacterial small subunit ribosomal RNA", at positions 28 to 507 of the family's 1533-position model. The record is from RNAcentral.